Molecule: non-coding RNA, 148 nt
Filed under: Homo sapiens (human)
Lineage: Eukaryota; Metazoa; Chordata; Mammalia; Primates; Hominidae
Source: Rfam by way of RNAcentral
GCCGGGCGUGGUGGCGGGCACCUGUAAUCCCAGCUACUCAGGAGGCUGAGACAGGAGAAUUGCUUGAACCCGGGAGGUGGAGGUUGCAGUGAGCCGAGAUUGCGCCACUGCACUCCAGCCUGGGCGACAGAGCGAGAUUCUGUCUCAA